AUGCUGUCUCAAAUGGAUGAAGAAAUCAUGACAUCCCUUCGUGAGCUCCCAGAAAUGAUUAAAUUAAUGAAGGAGUGUGUGCAGUGUGUCCGGUCAUUGAUUCCCUCACCCGGUGGGACCCCCUCAUCAGGAAUGUCUGCCUCUAGUACUGUUCCCAGUGAAAUUGAAAUGCACUCCUUGGCUGGAAGUGCAGUGAGUGUUCCGAAGAGGGCUUUCCAGCGGCUGAACAGAUCUCGCAUGACCAUUUUUGCCCAAGAGCUGGCUGUUCUGGUGUUCACAAAGGAACUGCUGGCAGAGUCCACCCUAACAGGAAAAUCUGUGCGAGGGGCCCCCCCCCAAAAAACAGCUGGAUGUUGAAAAAGUUCAGGCCAUAACAGACACUGUUCUUGUGGAGUUUCCACACACAACUCCGUCGGAAGUGCGAGCGGCCAUCAGGCGCAAGUGCAACAAUGAGCAAUUUAGCAAGAAAAAUUGAAGUUUGCUUGCUGUUCCACAAUGUUUCAAUUUUGUUUUCUUUCAGCAUUCUUUUUUUUUUUUUAAACAUGGUGUAUUUUGUUCUGUUUUUCAAUGCUACAACCAUGUGAGGAUUUAAUAAACACUGUUUGAGUUCAUUAUGUGUAUCUGUG
This is a long non-coding RNA of Cyprinus carpio (common carp), 626 nucleotides long. Lineage: Eukaryota; Metazoa; Chordata; Actinopteri; Cypriniformes; Cyprinidae. The record is from Ensembl.